UCAGGACGAACGGCUGGCGGCGUGCCUAAUACAUGCAAGUCGAACGGUCUUUCUAUGGAAGCUUGCUUCCACUGAGAAGAUAGUGGCGAGCGGGUGAGUAACACGUGGGUAACCUGCCCAUAAGAGGGGGAUAACAUCCGGAAACGGGUGCUAAUACCGCAUAGUUUUCUUGAUCGCAUGAUCGGGAAAGGAAAGACGGCCUUUGUGCUGUCGCUUAUGGAUGGACCCGCGGCGUAUUAGUUAGUUGGUGAGGUAACGGCUCACCAAGACGAUGAUACGUAGCCGACCUGAGAGGGUGAUCGGCCACAUUGGGACUGAGACACGGCCCAAACUCCUACGGGAGGCAGCAGUAGGGAAUCUUCCGCAAUGGACGAAAGUCUGACGGAGCAACGCCGCGUGAGUGAAGAAGGUUUUCGGAUCGUAAAACUCUGUUGUCAGGGAAGAACAAGUUGGAGAGUAACUGCUCCAGCCUUGACGGUAUCUGACCAGAAAGCCACGGCUAACUACGUGCCAGCCGCCGC
This 521-nucleotide ribosomal RNA is filed under the name uncultured bacterium. Its description in RNAcentral is "bacterial SSU rRNA". It matches the Rfam family "Bacterial small subunit ribosomal RNA", at positions 24 to 518 of the family's 1533-position model. The record is from RNAcentral.